RNAcentral lists this ribosomal RNA (240 nucleotides) under uncultured Lactobacillus sp. RNAcentral's name for it is "partial 16S ribosomal RNA". It matches the Rfam family "Bacterial small subunit ribosomal RNA", at positions 123 to 357 of the family's 1533-position model. The record is from RNAcentral. Lineage: Bacteria; Bacillati; Bacillota; Bacilli; Lactobacillales; Lactobacillaceae.
AACCUGCCCAAGAGAUCGGGAUAACACCUGGAAACAGAUGCUAAUACCGGAUAAUAACAGAUGAUGCCUAUCAACUGUUUAAAAGAUGGUUCUGCUAUCACUCUUGGAUGGACCUGCGGUGCAUUAGCUAGUUGGUAGGGUAACGGCCUACCAAGGCGAUGAUGCAUAGCCGAGUUGAGAGACUGAUCGGCCACAUUGGGACUGAGACACGGCCCAAACUCCUACGGGAGGCAGCAGGGG